This 1194-nucleotide long non-coding RNA is filed under the name Sinocyclocheilus anshuiensis. RNAcentral describes it as "lncRNA (ENSSANG00000033388.1)". Lineage: Eukaryota; Metazoa; Chordata; Actinopteri; Cypriniformes; Cyprinidae. The record is from RNAcentral.
UAGAAAUGUUAACCUACCUGGAGCUAAAAUGUUUUUAUUUUCAUAAGUGAGCAGAAAUCUAUAUUGUGAGGCUGAAGAAUGUUUGGUUCACUAACUAGUCAUUCAAAUACUAAAAUGAGCGUGGACAGAGGCCUUGCUAUUGAACUGGCUGAUUUAAGCCUGAAGAAGCCAGAUGAAUCUGCUUCACUGGGACAGAGUUACAUGGGGAAUGAGUCCAUGUGUCCUCGGUUAACCCUGAAAGAGAAACACAGGUUGAUUAAUCAUGAGGACUCUGACUUCUCUCUGCCCAGCGGUUUGUCAAUGAAAAGCGAGCAGUCAAUGCGUAAUCCUUUCAACUACAGCGGAGAAGCAAUCCCUACAGAACUAAAAAUGUUUUUUUUUUUUAUUCUGUGGAACACCAAAGAAGACAUUCUGAAGAAUGUUUAAACUGCAAGUCUUUUCAACACAACAAAAGCAGACAGAAACCAGCCCAGUCUCCUAAAAAAAAAAAAAAAAGGAGAAAACUUUUUAACAACUUGGUGAUUUUGUAUCAGUCUGUAUAACUUGAUUCAUAAAAAUAUGUAUUAUUUAAAAAAAUAAAUAAGUAAAUACAAUAAACAUGAAAAUCAACUUAUAAACCUAACACUCAGUAGUGGGGUAUAAGCAAAUCAUACCAAAAAAAAAAAAAAAAAUGUUUGAAUGAGUUCAUACAAUUUUGCUACCAAUUUAAAAAAAAAAAAAAAAAAUUGAGACCUUGUCAUAAAUGGAAAAUUGCACAACCCUGGUUUGAAUAUUGGGGUAACCUGGUUAUUUCUGCAUUUUUUCAAGUGCCGCUUACUGUAUGCUUAACAGCAUUUUUCAAAACCAUCUUGAGCCUAAGCUGACUGUAGAGACCAAUGGCUUGUUCCACUGGUUUCUACAGUGUACUUAGGCUUAAGGUACUUUAUUUUUAUUUAUUUUUUUAUCAUGAUUGCAUAUGCACUUUAUUCAGCCCACAACAUAUGCGCUUUGACAGAAACAUAUGAAUGUAUAUAUUUAUUUAUUUAUUUAUUUAUAGCUUGAACAAGCCAAAUAAUACUGCUUUACCAGGACCAAGUCAUGUGUCUCUGGGGAAUCCAUCUAUGUCUUCCCCGUUAUCCCUUCAGGAAGAAACCCCUGAACGCAAGUGAGCUCACAGACCUCUUAUAAACAUACCGAUUCUGCCUCAAACAAGUA